UUCCAGCCCUGAGUGGGCCCUCAUCACUUAGCAUACUCCUACCUAGAUACCAACUGAGUAGCCUAGGAGACCCCCUUUCAGGACUAAUGCCCAGUCAUGUCAACUUCAGACUCGUGACUUGGUGCAAAGCCCACUGCCACCUAAAUGAAGUUGGUUGAGUGGCAGCCCAACUACGCGUAGCUCCUGAGACCUUUCAGGCUCAGACACAUGCUGGACUUGGACUAAGUCACUGCCACAUGGCCACUAUUACCCUUACAUCUACCCCCAGUGACUUGCUGCUAAACUUAGUGAUAGAUGUGAAUGUCUGAGUUCCUAGAUAUCUUCACAGCCCUUUAAUCAUGGGGUAAGCUACAGCUAUGGCUCUACAACUCAGCCAAGAGUUCAGUGGCUGCAGCAAAUGGCACCUGUAGACUAUAAGAAACUGGCGAACAGAUCCUUUAACCUACAAGAUUCAAGAUUCUAUUCAUCUCUCUGGUUUUACUUUCAUUAGGCAGCUAACACAGUUAAGGGAACCCUUUCAGGAUGGCCUACCUCUGAUCUUGUGAAAUCCAUUGUGAACCAUGCUUUAGACCUUGAGGAAUUAACAAAGCAGCUUUCAUCCAUGCCUUAAGGUACCGUCAUUUGAAGCAGUUGCUCAGGACAACAGGUGCAUACAAUCCCAGCUGCAGGGUCUGACUGAGCGAGAGAAAGUUCAACAGUGAGGUACCAAACUAGAUUUAGCGAGCCUGCCAGGCUACAGGGAGGUUACGAGGCACUUAAGUUCAAGUGAUGCUUACGGCUGAACAGAAGUUCCACGCUGAGGAGCAUAGGUACUAAGUAAGACGCCCAUGACAGAACCACGUGAGCUGUUGGGAGAGGGCGGGGUACUCUACCAGCCAGCAACUCUUACUGAGCACCUGCUGUGAUGGGCACUGGUCUAUAACUAGUCUUAUCUAGUCACAAAACCCCAGUUUAAGCCACUUUUGCAACAACUUGUCCAAGUUCUCAGAGCUAGUAAGUGACAGAGCUAGGGACCGAACUCAGAUGAGCUCAAGCCCAUAUUCUGUCAUACCACAUCACCACAAAGGCAUUUCCCCACACAGAGGAUCCGAGGUUGAGGCUCCAGCUAGAAGUCACUGACACUACAGUAGAUCAGCUCCUGCCAGCCCAUCCCACACCUCCAAGCCAAACAAAAGCAACAGCUCCUGAAGCACCUAGAAGCGGCACAUGAAGUCGACACCUUAGGAGUUUCUAUUUAAGCCCUCAUCAAGUUCGGCCCAGAGCUGGCUCAGCUGAGCCAACUCCACAAAAAAUAGCCUUGCCUGAUUUUCAAGUAGGGUCAGCACUUUCCACUCACUUUCCCCAGGUCAGCAGGUUGAGCCACCUCUAGGCCUCUGGUUUUCCUGCUUCUCAGACCACCACACCAUGUGAUCAUUUGCCUGCCAAUUCCCUCCAGUUCCUCUUGCAUGCACUUAGGAUCAAGACAGAAGACAAGCAAGUAGAACUAUCAUCUCCAAGACCUGGUCAGAGAAGCCAGGCCACGGGUUGCUUGAAACAAAGGGACCUCAACUAGUAAGAGCAGGGAAGUCUCGAGUUUGUCACUAUCAGAGGAAGGGCUGAGGAGCCACUGCCUGCUAGGAACUCUCAAGUGUUUGGCUCUUAGGAGACAGCAAAUUAUCCCUUCUAAGUCCGUGUACUCUAAUUCAGGCUUCCAUGCAGACAAGCUCUGUCAUGUUACAAGCAAGUUUGCAGCCAUACAGCCAGCAGAGCUUACCUACCUACCUCCCCUCCUCCCCCUCCACGAGCUACUAGUUCCCUGAACCACUCAUUCCCAGAAAAAAAUCACUCUUGGGGAAAAGGAUAGCUUCCCCUAACAAGGAAGAGACCGCAGCUUUGCUUUAGCUCCCCUAAGUUUUUAAGACUUUCUUCCCUCCAGUUGAGGGAAGUAAGCCGACGAAGAGACUUUUCAGACUCAGACAGCAGAGAGGAAAAAAAGCUUUCUCUAGAUCUAGAGAGGGGCAGGAGGCUGUCUUUUUACAGGCCCUAAACUCCUGUGAGAGGAGAAAAACCUGCACGGGGACUGCCGAGAGAGGCUGGCUUUAUAGAGAUAGACCUCACACCGCUCCCCCCCACCCCCCACUUCCAAAACCCUCUCCUCUGAAACAAAAGAAAGCUUUAUACCCCACUCUCCUGGCUCGUUCUUACUUUUCCCACCCCACCCAGGCAGCCCCCACAGGCGUUCCUAACCCCUCAACUUCUACGAGCUACAAACACUUCCCACUAAUAAGCAAG
Long non-coding RNA from Equus caballus (horse), 2271 nucleotides. NCBI's taxonomy places the organism in Eukaryota, Metazoa, Chordata, Mammalia, Perissodactyla, Equidae. The record is from Ensembl.